RNAcentral lists this unclassified non-coding RNA (365 nucleotides) under soil metagenome. RNAcentral describes it as "partial contains 5.8S ribosomal RNA, internal transcribed spacer 2, and large subunit ribosomal RNA". The stretch from base 1 to 120 matches the Rfam family "5.8S ribosomal RNA", at positions 35 to 154 of the family's 154-position model. The record is from RNAcentral.
GAUGAAGAACGCAGCGAAAUGCGAUAAGUAAUGUGAAUUGCAGAAUUCAGUGAAUCAUCGAAUCUUUGAACGCACAUUGCGCCCGCCAGCAUUCUGGCGGGCAUGCCUGUUCGAGCGUCAUUUCAACCCUCGCAGCCCAUCUGGGCAGCGGUGUUGGGGACCGGCACCACCGGCGAAGCCCUUAGGGGCCCAGCCGGCGCCGCCCCCGAAAUACAGUGGCGGUCUCGCUGCAGCCUCCCUUGCGUAGUAGCACACCUCGCACCGGANNGCAGCGCGGCCACGCCGUAAAACCCCCGACUUUCUGAGUUUGACCUCGAAUCAGGUAGGAAUACCCGCUGAACUUAAGCAUAUCAAUAAGCGGAGGA